UACGUAGGGGCCUAGCGUUGUCCGGAAUCACUGGGCGUAAAGCGCACGUAGGCGGAUUUGUAAGUCAGGGGUGAAAUCCCGGGGCUCAACCUCGGAACUGCCUUUGAUACUGCGAAUCUCGAGUCCGAUAGAGGUGGGUGGAAUUCCUAGUGUAGAGGUGAAAUUCGUAGAUAUUAGGAAGAACACCGGUGGCGAAGGCGGCCCACUGGAUCGGUACUGACGCUGAGGUGCGAAAGCGUGGGGAGCAAACAGG
This 253-nucleotide ribosomal RNA is filed under the name uncultured bacterium. RNAcentral describes it as "partial 16S ribosomal RNA". It matches the Rfam family "Bacterial small subunit ribosomal RNA", at positions 524 to 776 of the family's 1533-position model. The record is from RNAcentral.